UCUGUAGGUGGUUUAAUAAGUCAACUGUUAAAUCUUGAGGCUCAACCUCAAAAUCGCAGUCGAAACUAUUAGACUAGAGUAUAGUAGGGGUAAAGGGAAUUUCCAGUGGACGCGGUGAAAUGCGUAGAUAUUGGAAGGAACACCGAUGGCGAAGGCACUUUACUGGGCUAUUACUAACACUCAGAGACGAAAGCUAGGGUAGCAAAUG
RNAcentral lists this ribosomal RNA (208 nucleotides) under uncultured bacterium. RNAcentral describes it as "partial 16S ribosomal RNA". It matches the Rfam family "Bacterial small subunit ribosomal RNA", at positions 568 to 774 of the family's 1533-position model. The record is from RNAcentral.